CUAAACUGGGGAAAGUCCGUCGAAACUGGUAGGCUUGAGGAACGUAGGGGGAGGCGGAACUCUCGGAGUAGCGGUGGAAUGCGUAGAUACCGAGAGGUACCUCGAUGGCGAAGGCAGCCUCCUGGGCGUUUCCUGACGCUGAAGCGUUAAGGUCAGGGGAGCGAAGGGGAUUAGAUACCCCCGUAGUCCUGACUUCAAACGAUGUGGGCUAGGUAUCGGGACAUGAAGAGCUCGUUGCCGUAGUUAACGCGUUAAGCCCACCGCCUGGGGAUUACGUCCGCAAGGAUGAAACUCAAGGGAAUUGACGGGGGCCCACACAACCGGCGGAGCACGUGGUUUAAUUCGAUGAUAAGCGAAGAACCUUACCAGGGCUUGACCUAGCGGUAGUAGGACCCCGAAAGGGGAACGACCUCCAGCUUUGCUUGAGGAGCC
This 432-nucleotide ribosomal RNA is filed under the name uncultured archaeon. Its description in RNAcentral is "bacterial SSU rRNA". It matches the Rfam family "Bacterial small subunit ribosomal RNA", at positions 608 to 1042 of the family's 1533-position model. The record is from RNAcentral.